RNAcentral lists this long non-coding RNA (441 nucleotides) under Pongo abelii (Sumatran orangutan). Its description in RNAcentral is "lincRNA". The record is from RNAcentral. Lineage: Eukaryota; Metazoa; Chordata; Mammalia; Primates; Hominidae.
GAAACAGAAGCUCUGGCAAUAGCCGGCUGCUUGCUCAAGGUGACACAGUUAAUGGAGAGGCAGAUCUCUGGAUGCCGCGUCUCGGGCCACGCCUGCCUCCCCCGCCGCCACGUGCAUACACAGAAUUCCUCAUGCUGCUGCUAUCACGGAACUCAGGGUUCAUCUCAAAGAUCUCUCUUUGCAUAAUGUGUGUGUGGACCUGCCUACAGAUAUAUUGGGUGGAAGCCCUAGGAGCCUCAAGCAAGUCUGAAGAUUGGCCCUGAGAACCACUGUUCUCAUUAUCAGCAAGGAUUUUAUCCAGAGACCUCUAGGAAUACAUUCACUAAAAUGCGACUGUGGUCCUGUGGUUGUAUGAACUCUGGCUCUUCUCGUGGAUUACAUUUCACUGGAGUCAGGUGUUUUCUGUAAACAUCAUUAAACCACAAGACCAACUGCAUUGAA